This 316-nucleotide ribosomal RNA is filed under the name Streptococcus suis. RNAcentral's name for it is "bacterial SSU rRNA". It matches the Rfam family "Bacterial small subunit ribosomal RNA", at positions 173 to 480 of the family's 1533-position model. The record is from RNAcentral. Lineage: Bacteria; Bacillati; Bacillota; Bacilli; Lactobacillales; Streptococcaceae.
CAGUAUUUACCGCAUGGUAGAUAUUUGAAAGGAGCAAUUGCUUCACUAUGAGAUGGACCUGCGUUGUAUUAGCUAGUUGGUGAGGUAACGGCUCACCAAGGCAUCGAUACAUAGCCGACCUGAGAGGGUGAUCGGCCACACUGGGACUGAGACACGGCCCAGACUCCUACGGGAGGCAGCAGUAGGGAAUCUUCGGCAAUGGGGGCAACCCUGACCGAGCAACGCCGCGUGAGUGAAGAAGGUUUUCGGAUCGUAAAGCUCUGUUGUAAGAGAAGAACUGUGAGAAGAGUGGAAAGUUUCUCACUUGACGGUAUCU